Protopterus annectens (West African lungfish) is the source of this 745-nucleotide long non-coding RNA. RefSeq lists it as uncharacterized. The record is from RefSeq and is a predicted model, not a curated record. Lineage: Eukaryota; Metazoa; Chordata; Ceratodontiformes; Protopteridae. The transcript is spliced from 2 exons.
CUUUGCAUUAAUUUACCUAAAGAGGAUUUACAGGGCGGAUCAGACAUUUUAAAAGGCAACCAUGAAGUUAAAUGCGAUUGCAAGUAAAAUGGGGCCCUGUAUAUAUUAGCAUCCAUUAGCUCUAGACUGGCAUUGCCCUAAAAUGAAUUACACCUAUUAUUGUUUCGAAAUGUGAGGUGACUGCAUGUAUAAGGAUCUGGAUGGAAAGAAACAGAACGUGAUGCAAGAAACAUAAGCGAUACUCGUAUACCUAUUUUAAAAUACUCUACAGUGAGAUUCCAGCAUUCCAACCACAAGAACGUAUCCCGAAGAGAAGAAAAAGAAUGAAUAAUGAAAGAGAGCAAAUCAUUCUGUUUGAAGAAGAAUAUAAGGAAUACCAGUACAAGAAAGAAAAAAAAAAUAUGGAGAGGAAAAGGAGAGAAAAGGAAAAGGCAAUAAAUAAAUAUAAGAUUACAAAUAUAUCUGCCAUAAAAAGAAAAAAAAAACAGUAAGUUAAUUCUUUGCCAAGGAAAAACAUGAAGGAGAGAACCACACCUGAUAUUCUAGAGGAUGAAGAGCACCAUGAAGAAAACCCCCGCAGAUCUGGUAGUUGGAGUACUGAUGACGAUGAUGGACAAGUUCUUUGAAAACAAAAAUAAUGCCAGUGGAGGGAAAUAUUAAACCUAAGACAAAGAAAAGCGAUGUUUGCAUAUGUACUCUGAAUGCCAGCACACUUACAAUUAAAGAAAUUAAAUGGAUGACAUUA